Molecule: long non-coding RNA, 2629 nt
Filed under: Marmota monax (woodchuck)
Lineage: Eukaryota; Metazoa; Chordata; Mammalia; Rodentia; Sciuridae
Source: RNAcentral
CAGCGGCCUGAGGCCCCUGAGCCUUGGGCUCAGCCCUGCUCCUCCAUUCCUUCCCACCCCUCUCAGCUAAGACCCACCAGAAGUCCGAGGUCAGGGUGCCCAGCCUGUCCUUCAUGAAGGCGGCCGACAUCUUUCACCGUCUGGUGAGCAAGCUGCUCCUGCCCUCUCUCUACAGCAGGCUUGGGCAUUAGGUUCUGCCCUGUAUGUCCACUGGCAGGAGCCCCCAAUGGUCCCUGGGUGGUGGCCCAGCCCUGUGCCUCCUACUGGCACCUCCCUGGCUCCUGUCCUGAGAGGUACAGGUGCUUGCCAGGCCGGGCCCCUCGGACUGCAGCCAAGCCAGCCUCUGACCCCUGCCUCCUCCAGGGACCCCUGCCCGUGUUCUCAGCCAAGAAUCGGUGGCAACUGGUGGGGCCCAUCCACCUGACCCGGGGAGAGGGCGGCUUCGGCUUCACGCUUCGGGGAGACUCCCCCGUCCUUAUUGCUGCUGUGGUCCCUGGCGGGCAAGCUGCGGUAAGGGCCCGCUGGCCUUGGAGGCUGAGUCCCCAGGACUCCAGCCAGACCUGCUCUUGCUCCUCACUGGUCUGUGUCCCCAACAGGCGGCUGGCCUCCAGCAGGGUGACUACAUCGUGUCCCUGAACGGGCAGCCCUGCAAGUGGUGGAGGCACGCGGACGUCGUGGCGCAGCUGAGGGAGGCGGGCGCAGCGGGCGUGAGUCUGCAGGUGGCUUCACUGCUGCCCAGACAUGAGCCACGCAGCACAGUGAGUCCUGGGGCCUGGGCCUGGACCUCCCUGGUGCUCAUGAGGCCUCUGAAAGAGGAGCGGUGGGCAGUGGCCCUCACUGGGGUGGCCUUCUGACGAGUGGCCACCUGUGCUGCUGCAUCACCUGGUGGCUGGCCUCCCCCCCAGAAAGGCCCCCCACCUCAGCAGGAUCCGAGGCUUCCAGCUGGGUUCCUCCAGAGGUCACGUCCACCUGGUGGGUCCACCCAAGGACUGGGUGACGAGCAGCAAGGGGAACAGAGCCCCUGGACAUGCCCCCAGCACGCCUGCCUCCUCCCUGGCUCACUACAGGCCACCCAGGUGGUAGCUGACCACAUCCUUCUCUGUCCUGGCUGCAGGGGGACCGCCAGCCAGCUCUGCUGGGCCCAGGGAGGCUUCCGAGGAGCCAGAGAGCGUGCGGUUUCGAGAUGCCAGCACCCACCCGUGCCAGUCCCCAGCCCCUCCUUGUCUGGAGCCGCAGGGCCAAGCAGAGCAAGCCCGGGGGCCGCCCCCCACCCUGCACUGGUGGGGACUGUGGCACCUGUCCCUGAGUCAGCCAUGGUCCCUGCACCCUCCAAGUGCCCAGCGUGUCUCUGAGGACUGGAAGCAGCCCAAGCAUUCUGUUUCUCACCCUCAGGGACCUUCAGGCUGGGCCUGCCCUGCUCGGGGCCAGAGCUGCCCAUUAAAGACUCUGGUUAGACAAGCCAGAUCAGAGCCCAGUGCUGGGGCCACGGCCACCUCACCAAGAGGAAGCACCCCCUGCCCUUUGGGCACAGUGCUCAUACAGCCACUCUCCGAGGAGGACAGUGGGGGUGGGGUGAGGGGUCUCUCCCUGAGAGAUGCUGUAGGCUCUGGGUGGGGCUUUACUCUGCAGCACGCCCCUGGCCCCAUGUAAUCCUGUCCACAUGCUCAGAGCCCUGUCCACCUUGCUGCUGCCCUGGCUGCAGCCUCGCUUCAGCUGCCCUGGGCUCCAAACCUCCACCCAGCCCUCCAAAGGCCAAGCUUCUGCCUCAUGUGUGGUUCUGCUCUGGGAACCCCUGGACUGUCCUCACCCCAGCUGGACAAAGCUAGGCCCCCUUGCUGAUUAGCUGCUCUCCGAAUAGGGUCCCAGCAAAGGCCGGUUGUUCUCCGGCCCUUGUCUGCCGCCCAGGAAGCACUGGCAAAGAGACUGAGCCCCCUGGUAGCCUGCACUUGCUGUCUCUGUGUCCAGCCCCACCUGCCCGCCAGGGCCCUGGCAGCCCUCGGAUGUGCCUCCACGGGCAGGAGCAGUGAUCCCCAGGUCCCUUGGAGGGGUGGGCUCAGGACCUGGGCCCCAAAUGGAUGAGGUGAGAAGGGGAGCACGGGCCACAGGCCAAGCCGUACCAGACAGAGGCCACAAGGGGCCCUUCCACCAAGGGCCGGGGGGGUUGAGGACAGGACCCUGGUCACUGGUGUUACUCCCCAAGGCCACCAGGGGGCAGCCGCCACCCACUGACAGCCACAGGAGGGGAGAGUAUGAGGCAGCAGAUCAAGGAAGGCAGAGCAGUCCACUCUGCACUCUGGCCCUGGUUCCAUGGUCCUGGGCCUGCUGUCCAUUACCCCUGCACACCACCCGUCAGCACUGACGGCCAGGUCCCAAGUGGGGGUGGUUCAUGUGUGUGUGUAGGCAUGGGGGGUAAGUGUGUGUUUGGAAGCCCUGAGCACAGAGGCGCCCUCUUCCAAAGCAGAAGGGCAGGACUCCCGGGCCUGCGGGAGUUGGGGGUGGGAGUCCCAGGGUGUCCUGCCACCACAGCCCACCUGGGAGAAUCCCCGUCAGCAGAACAGGCUAAGGUCACGCAGGAGGUCUCAGCACGUGUUAAGUCGAUUAAUAAAAUCAUGCUUCAAGAAGGUCAUUA